Molecule: ribosomal RNA, 2921 nt
Filed under: Staphylococcus aureus DAR5878
Lineage: Bacteria; Bacillati; Bacillota; Bacilli; Caryophanales; Staphylococcaceae
Also listed under: 2 other names
Description: bacterial LSU rRNA
Rfam family: Bacterial large subunit ribosomal RNA
Source: RNAcentral
UUAAGUUAUUAAGGGCGCACGGUGGAUGCCUUGGCACUAGAAGCCGAUGAAGGACGUUACUAACGACGAUAUGCUUUGGGGAGCUGUAAGUAAGCUUUGAUCCAGAGAUUUCCGAAUGGGGAAACCUAGCAUGAGUUAUGUCAUGUUAUCGAUAUGUGAAUACAUAGCAUAUCAGAAGGCACACCCGGAGAACUGAAACAUCUUAGUACCCGGAGGAAGAGAAAGAAAAUUCGAUUCCCUUAGUAGCGGCGAGCGAAACGGGAAGAGCCCAAACCAACAAGCUUGCUUGUUGGGGUUGUAGGACACUCUGUACGGAGUUACAAAGGACGACAUUAGACGAAUCAUCUGGAAAGAUGAAUCAAAGAAGGUAAUAAUCCUGUAGUCGAAAAUGUUGUCUCUCUUGAGUGGAUCCUGAGUACGACGGAGCACGUGAAAUUCCGUCGGAAUCUGGGAGGACCAUCUCCUAAGGCUAAAUACUCUCUAGUGACCGAUAGUGAACCAGUACCGUGAGGGAAAGGUGAAAAGCACCCCGGAAGGGGAGUGAAAUAGAACCUGAAACCGUGUGCUUACAAGUAGUCAGAGCCCGUUAAUGGGUGAUGGCGUGCCUUUUGUAGAAUGAACCGGCGAGUUACGAUUUGAUGCAAGGUUAAGCAGUAAAUGUGGAGCCGUAGCGAAAGCGAGUCUGAAUAGGGCGUUUAGUAUUUGGUCGUAGACCCGAAACCAGGUGAUCUACCCUUGGUCAGGUUGAAGUUCAGGUAACACUGAAUGGAGGACCGAACCGACUUACGUUGAAAAGUGAGCGGAUGAACUGAGGGUAGCGGAGAAAUUCCAAUCGAACCUGGAGAUAGCUGGUUCUCUCCGAAAUAGCUUUAGGGCUAGCCUCAAGUGAUGAUUAUUGGAGGUAGAGCACUGUUUGGACGAGGGGCCCCUCUCGGGUUACCGAAUUCAGACAAACUCCGAAUGCCAAUUAAUUUAACUUGGGAGUCAGAACAUGGGUGAUAAGGUCCGUGUUCGAAAGGGAAACAGCCCAGACCACCAGCUAAGGUCCCAAAAUAUAUGUUAAGUGGAAAAGGAUGUGGCGUUGCCCAGACAACUAGGAUGUUGGCUUAGAAGCAGCCAUCAUUUAAAGAGUGCGUAAUAGCUCACUAGUCGAGUGACACUGCGCCGAAAAUGUACCGGGGCUAAACAUAUUACCGAAGCUGUGGAUUGUCCUUUGGACAAUGGUAGGAGAGCGUUCUAAGGGCGUUGAAGCAUGAUCGUAAGGACAUGUGGAGCGCUUAGAAGUGAGAAUGCCGGUGUGAGUAGCGAAAGACGGGUGAGAAUCCCGUCCACCGAUUGACUAAGGUUUCCAGAGGAAGGCUCGUCCGCUCUGGGUUAGUCGGGUCCUAAGCUGAGGCCGACAGGCGUAGGCGAUGGAUAACAGGUUGAUAUUCCUGUACCACCUAUAAUCGUUUUAAUCGAUGGGGGGACGCAGUAGGAUAGGCGAAGCGUGCGAUUGGAUUGCACGUCUAAGCAGUAAGGCUGAGUAUUAGGCAAAUCCGGUACUCGUUAAGGCUGAGCUGUGAUGGGGAGAAGACAUUGUGUCUUCGAGUCGUUGAUUUCACACUGCCGAGAAAAGCCUCUAGAUAGAAAAUAGGUGCCCGUACCGCAAACCGACACAGGUAGUCAAGAUGAGAAUUCUAAGGUGAGCGAGCGAACUCUCGUUAAGGAACUCGGCAAAAUGACCCCGUAACUUCGGGAGAAGGGGUGCUCUUUAGGGUUAACGCCCAGAAGAGCCGCAGUGAAUAGGCCCAAGCGACUGUUUAUCAAAAACACAGGUCUCUGCUAAACCGUAAGGUGAUGUAUAGGGGCUGACGCCUGCCCGGUGCUGGAAGGUUAAGAGGAGUGGUUAGCUUCUGCGAAGCUACGAAUCGAAGCCCCAGUAAACGGCGGCCGUAACUAUAACGGUCCUAAGGUAGCGAAAUUCCUUGUCGGGUAAGUUCCGACCCGCACGAAAGGCGUAACGAUUUGGGCACUGUCUCAACGAGAGACUCGGUGAAAUCAUAGUACCUGUGAAGAUGCAGGUUACCCGCGACAGGACGGAAAGACCCCGUGGAGCUUUACUGUAGCCUGAUAUUGAAAUUCGGCACAGCUUGUACAGGAUAGGUAGGAGCCUUUGAAACGUGAGCGCUAGCUUACGUGGAGGCGCUGGUGGGAUACUACCCUAGCUGUGUUGGCUUUCUAACCCGCACCACUUAUCGUGGUGGGAGACAGUGUCAGGCGGGCAGUUUGACUGGGGCGGUCGCCUCCUAAAAGGUAACGGAGGCGCUCAAAGGUUCCCUCAGAAUGGUUGGAAAUCAUUCAUAGAGUGUAAAGGCAUAAGGGAGCUUGACUGCGAGACCUACAAGUCGAGCAGGGUCGAAAGACGGACUUAGUGAUCCGGUGGUUCCGCAUGGAAGGGCCAUCGCUCAACGGAUAAAAGCUACCCCGGGGAUAACAGGCUUAUCUCCCCCAAGAGUUCACAUCGACGGGGAGGUUUGGCACCUCGAUGUCGGCUCAUCGCAUCCUGGGGCUGUAGUCGGUCCCAAGGGUUGGGCUGUUCGCCCAUUAAAGCGGUACGCGAGCUGGGUUCAGAACGUCGUGAGACAGUUCGGUCCCUAUCCGUCGUGGGCGUAGGAAAUUUGAGAGGAGCUGUCCUUAGUACGAGAGGACCGGGAUGGACAUACCUCUGGUGUACCAGUUGUCGUGCCAACGGCAUAGCUGGGUAGCUAUGUGUGGACGGGAUAAGUGCUGAAAGCAUCUAAGCAUGAAGCCCCCCUCAAGAUGAGAUUUCCCAACUUCGGUUAUAAGAUCCCUCAAAGAUGAUGAGGUUAAUAGGUUCGAGGUGGAAGCAUGGUGACAUGUGGAGCUGACGAAUACUAAUCGAUCGAAGACUUAAUCAA